Molecule: transfer RNA, 88 nt
Filed under: Deltaproteobacteria bacterium
Lineage: Bacteria; Pseudomonadati; Myxococcota; Myxococcia
Description: tRNA-Ser
Rfam family: tRNA
About the family: Transfer RNA (tRNA) molecules are approximately 80 nucleotides in length.
Source: RNAcentral
GGAGGGAUGGCUGAGUGGUUUAAAGCGGCGGUCUUGAAAACCGUUUCCCGGAAACGGGACGUGGGUUCGAAUCCUACUCCCUCCGCCA